GGAUAAAACCCCAGAGAACCAAAAGAGAAGUUCUGAUUCAUCUCUUCACGCCGCCUUCCGUUUUCUUCCCUGCAGAAACCUAACUACCCGAGGAGACUCUAAGAAGAAGAAGAAGACACGAGUACACGACGAUAUUGAACAAACCUAAGAGGAGAUCGAAGAAGAAGAAAAUCUCAAAUUAAAGUUUACUUGAAGUGAUGUCUAUUACACCUCCAAGCAAAGAAUGGAUGGGUGCGCUAUGACAGUCGACUCAAUUUUUGGAAGGAGUUGAAUCCUUUAUCAGGAAAAGGAAAAUCCCACUGAUGUGAUAUCUAGGACAGACGUGUUGUUGCAGACACAUAAAAUCACCCCAGAUGAUAAUCCCUCAUCUUCUAAAUCACCGACAGCUGCAAAACUAGCAUUGGUGAAGGAGGCAUAUGAUAAAGAUCCUUCAGCACGAAAGUGUUUGGGAACCGACGAUGUUACCAAGAUAUUUGGUGCUGAUCGAAAGGGAUACAUAUGUGGAACGGGUGCUGGUGUUUCUAAAUCUCAGUUUCUUGCUUCUGAGUUUAUGAAGGCCAAGUUGCAAUAAGAGAAGCAGAGAGACAAAGCUUUGAAAGCACAUCUGGAUGCUGAAAGACAGAAAAACAACAUCGGAAUACAUGAUCAGAUCUCUAAUAGCUCUUAUCAGCAGAUAUUGGGGUCCUAGCAGCACUUUCGUCGUUUGGUUUUUGUUGUUUGAGGAACUUGAGGAAAAUAUCUGGUUGCACUUGCGUAUGUUGAUACUAAGCUGCUGAUUGAUGACGAUCACGACUGCAUGCUUGCGGAAAUCAUUGAUCGGAGUGAAAUGUUGUGUGACAAAGAUGAUGAUGUACUCCGGGAUCUACCCAUUGGUGAGUUUAUCAGGUGGCAAAGGCCUUUGCGACUCUGGUAGGAGAGCGAUCAAGUUAGGGCGGCAGGGACAGUAAAUUAUUUACUUUUAAACUUUCAAUAUGUAAGUAGGGGUUUCUAGGAUAUGUCUUCCAAUUUGUAUUUGAAUAUUCUAUUUUCUUUGAGAAAAUAAUUAAAUUAAUAAAAUUAAUUUUAGAUUCUGCUUGGAAUUA
Molecule: long non-coding RNA, 1082 nt
Organism: Papaver somniferum (opium poppy)
Lineage: Eukaryota; Viridiplantae; Streptophyta; Magnoliopsida; Ranunculales; Papaveraceae
Exons: 7
Source: RefSeq, a predicted model, not a curated record